RNAcentral lists this long non-coding RNA (248 nucleotides) under Vigna radiata. RNAcentral describes it as "long non-coding RNA (VRAD_LNC008706)". Lineage: Eukaryota; Viridiplantae; Streptophyta; Magnoliopsida; Fabales; Fabaceae. The record is from RNAcentral.
AGCCACAUGGCACAGGUUCAUGGUGGAAGCAAAUUUAGUUGCUUAGAAUCCUUGGAAUUGGUUUAGCAUUUUCACUCUCUGGACUCGAUUUUAAAAAAAUAACUGCAACCAUACCAGAGGUCUAAAUGCUACAUUUUAUGUCACAUGAAAGAUAAUUGAUCUACUUUUCAGGAAAAAAAACCUCAUCUCAUUUAGAGCUCUAUAGAAAAAGUUAUGGGUAAAACAUUGAACAAAGGUCAGAGCUGUCC